GACGAACGCUGGCGGCGUGCUUAACACAUGCAAGUCGAACGGAAAGGCCCUGCUUUUGUGGGGUGCUCGAGUGGCGAACGGGUGAGUAACACGUGAGUAACCUGCCCUUGACUUUGGGAUAACUUCAGGAAACUGGGGCUAAUACCGGAUAGGAGCUCCUGCUGCAUGGUGGGGGUUGGAAAGUUUCGGCGGUUGGGGAUGGACUCGCGGCUUAUCAGCUUGUUGGUGGGGUAGUGGCUACCAAGGCUUUGACGGGUAGCCGGCCUGGGAGGGUGACCGGCCACAUUGGGACUGAGAUACGGCCCAGACUCCUACGGGAGGCAGCAGUGGGGAAUAUUGCACAAUGGGCGGAAGCCUGAUGCAGCAACGCCGCGUGCGGGAUGACGGCCUUCGGGUUGUAAACCGCUUUCGCCUGUGACGAAGCGUGAGUGACGGUAAUGGGUAAAGAAGCACCGGCUAACUACGUG
Molecule: ribosomal RNA, 467 nt
Filed under: uncultured bacterium
Lineage: Bacteria
Description: partial 16S ribosomal RNA
Rfam family: Bacterial small subunit ribosomal RNA
Source: RNAcentral